This is a long non-coding RNA of Equus caballus (horse), 1589 nucleotides long. The record is from Ensembl. NCBI's taxonomy places the organism in Eukaryota, Metazoa, Chordata, Mammalia, Perissodactyla, Equidae.
UAACAGCCCAAGGGACGCACCUCAGUGGCCCCCACCUGUGUCCCUAUCAGCACGCCUGGACCAGCUCAGAACAACGGCCCCCACCAAUGUCUCAGUCUCCGGAGAGGACCCUCCUCUCACCAAGAUGCCCCCAGAGCCCACCAGUUUGUGAGCACUUGGAGGAGAAGAGAAACACAGAGCCCGUGUUUAUUCAUCUCUGUAACCCCGACAUCAGACAGCAUAAAUGCUCCAUGUGUGUUAAAACUGGGAGUAGUCGUGCAGCUUUUGGGGCUCUCCUGGUGUUUGCAGGACAAAGUUUGGCACUCUGUUGAGGAAAAAAACCCAAUAUGGAACAAAUACAGCAACCUUCUCCUUGUCUUCCUGGAACGAAAGUUGAGGCUGGAUCAUAAAUUAUUUAGUAGUACAUCCUUUUUCUUUGGAAUCCAGAAAGCACCUACCAAUAUUUUGGAUAUACUGACACAAAUUCACCACGGCCUUCACUCACUUUUCUCCUUCUCCCUGACCAAGAUGUGAGAAUCAAGAUACACUGCAGCAGAGUAGCAAACCCCAUCGGCUCAGCCAUUCUGACUCUCAUAUUGCUUUGGGCGGUUACCACGAUGCUCACCCUUGCGGAUAUAGACACCCGUGAUUCCUGCAUUACUAAUAUGAUCUCAUCUCUUAUCUAAACUCCUUUGAUGGAACUGGUGGAGAAGUGAUAACCUCUGAAUCAAAGGAAUCUCAAACCACAAGACUCACUGACUAUAAGCAAAAUGACGAUAAAUUUUUAGAGAGGCAGAAGUUUCUUACUUAGGAUUAUUAAAGAAUAUGCUAAAGAAAGAUAAGCAACUUGAGCAGUUACUAAAUAUAUCAAGCACACAUGGGGCUGAGAUAUGUGGGGUGAUUCGCAGCUGAACAAACAAAAUGACUAUUUCUGUAGGGACCCUGAGUAUUUGGUGCUUUGUGAUUGAUGACGCACCCUACUAUUUAAGGAGUGAAGGAGAAUUAUCCUAUCUCAAGUUCAGAAUAGAUUUUUCUCUUCAAGAGAAAAUUAUUUUUAAAUAUUUGAAUGGCGCUUGAGUAAAAUAUGUCUAUCAUAAAAGUUAUCUAACAAUUUACAUUGCCACCAAGAUGACACAGCCUAAGAGCUGUGAUGACAUCAGAGGAAAAUAGAUAUAAUCUAUACAGUACAAGGAACUUCAUUUUUCUUCUUCUGCAAGAAACUGGCUCCAUUACAGUGAUAGUGAUUUUCAGAAAAUGGAUAGUUAUUGAGAUUUCCUAGAUUGUAUGAUCACCGUAAAAGAGCAGACAAAGCAUAUACUUAUUGGCCCUGUUGUCAUCACUGAACCAAAAUCCACAUGGGAGAAGAUAAAGUAAGAAACAACUUCAAAUUAAAACUAACUUUGAUAAUCAGUAAGGACUAGUCUCAAUACCGUCCAGAGGAGGAAUCACCAGAGCUCAAGUCAAAGUCCAUGAAGACUUCCAUGACCCAGCUGCAGCAUCACUGUGGCUUGGAGCUGGGCCAGAAGGUGCAGGAUUCAGCAUAAGCAGAGAUCUCGGCAAUUUGACUCCCAGACAAGUUCAAGAAGUAGAAGAUGACAGAAGAGUGAGAC